UACGUAGGUCCCGAGCGUUGUCCGGAUUUAUUGGGCGUAAAGCGAGCGCAGGUGGUUUAUUAAGUCUGGUGUAAAAGGCAGUGACUCAACCAUUGUAUGCAUUGGAAACUGGUAGACUUGAGUGCAGGAGAGGAGAGUGGAAUUCCAUGUGUAGCGGUGAAAUGCGUAGAUAUAUGGAGGAACACCGGUGGCGAAAACGGCUCUCUGGCCUGUAACUGACACUGAGGCUCGAAAGCGUGGGGAGCAAACAGG
RNAcentral lists this ribosomal RNA (252 nucleotides) under uncultured bacterium. RNAcentral's name for it is "partial 16S ribosomal RNA". It matches the Rfam family "Bacterial small subunit ribosomal RNA", at positions 524 to 776 of the family's 1533-position model. The record is from RNAcentral.